UACGAGGGGGGCGAGCGUUGUUCGGAAUUAUUGGGCGUAAAGGGUGCGUAGGCGGUUUGGUAAGUCUUAUGUGAAAUCUAUGGGCUCAACUCAUAGUCUGCAUGAGAAACUGCCGGGCUUGAGUAUGGGAGAGGUGAGUGGAAUUCCUGGUGUAGCAGUGGAAUGCGCAGAUAUCAGGAGGAACACCGGUGGCGAAGGCGGGUCUCUGGGCCGUUACUGACGCUGAGGAGCGAAAGCGUGGGGAGCGAACAGG
RNAcentral lists this ribosomal RNA (253 nucleotides) under uncultured bacterium. Its description in RNAcentral is "partial 16S ribosomal RNA". It matches the Rfam family "Bacterial small subunit ribosomal RNA", at positions 524 to 776 of the family's 1533-position model. The record is from RNAcentral.